RNAcentral lists this ribosomal RNA (395 nucleotides) under uncultured bacterium. RNAcentral describes it as "bacterial SSU rRNA". It matches the Rfam family "Bacterial small subunit ribosomal RNA", at positions 505 to 898 of the family's 1533-position model. The record is from RNAcentral.
GUGUCAGCAGCCGCGGUAAUACGUAGGUGGCAAGCGUUGUCCGGAAUUAUUGGGCGUAAAGGGCGCGUAGGCGGUACCUUAAGUCAGAUGUGAAAACCCGGGGCUCAACUCCGGAGGUGCAUUUGAAACUGGGGUACUUGAGUGCAGGAGAGGAAAGCGGAAUUCCUAGUGUAGCGGUGAAAUGCGUAGAUAUUAGGAGGAACACCAGUGGCGAAGGCGGCUUUCUGGACUGUAACUGACGCUGAGGCGCGAAAGCGUGGGGAGCAAACAGGAUUAGAUACCCUGGUAGUCCACGCUGUAAACGAUGGAUACUAGGUGUGGGAGGUAUCGACCCCUUCCGUGCCGCAGUAAACGCAAUAAGUAUCCCGCCUGGGGAGUACGGCCGCAAGGUUGAA